RNAcentral lists this ribosomal RNA (386 nucleotides) under Pongo pygmaeus (Bornean orangutan). Its description in RNAcentral is "partial 12S ribosomal RNA". It matches the Rfam family "Bacterial small subunit ribosomal RNA", at positions 794 to 1384 of the family's 1533-position model. The record is from RNAcentral. Lineage: Eukaryota; Metazoa; Chordata; Mammalia; Primates; Hominidae.
GCUUAGCCCUAAACUUUAACAGUUGAAUCAACAAAACUGCUCGCCAGAACACUACGAGCCACAGCUUAAAACUCAAAGGACCUGGCGGUGCUUCAUACCCCCCUAGAGGAGCCUGUUCUGUAAUCGAUAAACCCCGAUCAACCUCACCACCCCUUGCUCAGCCUAUAUACCGCCAUCUUCAGCAAACCCUGAUGAAGGCCACGAAGUAAGCGCAAACACCCACGUAAAGACGUUAGGUCAAGGUGUAGCCCAUGGAGUGGCAAGAAAUGGGCUACAUUUUCUACUUCAGAAAACUACGAUAACCCUCAUGAAAUUUGAAGGUCGAAGGUGGAUUUAGCAGUAAACUAAGAGUAGAGUGCUUAGUUGAACAAGGCCCUGAAGCGCGU